This 429-nucleotide ribosomal RNA is filed under the name Actinomycetes bacterium. RNAcentral describes it as "Actinobacteria bacterium partial 16S ribosomal RNA". It matches the Rfam family "Bacterial small subunit ribosomal RNA", at positions 355 to 776 of the family's 1533-position model. The record is from RNAcentral. Lineage: Bacteria; Bacillati; Actinomycetota; Actinomycetes.
UAGGGAAUCUUCCGCAAUGGGCGAAAGCCUGACGGAGCAACGCCGCGUGAGUGAUGAAGGUCUUCGGAUCGUAAAACUCCGUUAUUAGGGAAGAACAAAUGUGUAAGUAACUAUGCACGUCUUGACGGUACCUAAUCAGAAAGCCACGGCUAACUACGUGCCAGCAGCCGCGGUAAUACGUAGGUGGCAAGCGUUAUCCGGAAUUAUUGGGCGUAAAGCGCGCGUAGGCGGUUUUUUAAGUCUGAUGUGAAAGCCCACGGCUCAACCGUGGAGGGUCAUUGGAAACUGGAAAACUUGAGUGCAGAAGAGGAAAGUGGAAUUCCAUGUGUAGCGGUGAAAUGCGCGGAGAUAUGGAGGAACACCAGUGGCGAAGGCGACUUUCUGGUCUGUAACUGACGCUGAUGUGCGAAAGCGUGGGGAUCAAACAGG